Protopterus annectens (West African lungfish) is the source of this 235-nucleotide long non-coding RNA. RefSeq lists it as uncharacterized. The record is from RefSeq and is a predicted model, not a curated record. NCBI's taxonomy places the organism in Eukaryota, Metazoa, Chordata, Ceratodontiformes, Protopteridae. The transcript is spliced from 3 exons.
UGUGCAUAGGUGAGCUGAGUGUAGGAGAGGUAGUUGGGAAGCUCUAGCCAGUUGAGUUUAUGGAGAGGUUCACAGUGAUGGGUGGAUGAUUUGUUACUGGUGGCGAAUCUAUUGUAACAAGAUGAGAGCUUGGUUUUCAGGGAAGAUUGUAGGUUUAUAAGAAGAGGAGCACCAUAGAGAAGGGAGGGAAGGAGAAAUGUGGUAGAGAGAGUAAUUUUGGUAGUUGAGGUGAGGA